AUUGAACGCUGGCGGCAGGCUUAACACAUGCAAGUCGAACGAGUGGCGGACGGGUGAGUAAUGCUUGGGAAUCUCGCUUAUGGAGGGGGAUAACUACGGGAAACUGUAGCUAAUACCGCGUACCAUAGGAUGAGCCCAAGUGGGAUUAGGUAGUUGGUGAGGUAAAGGCUCACCAAGCCGACGAUCUCUAGCUGGUCUGAGAGGAUGACCAGGCACACGGGGACUGAGACACGGCCCAGACUCCUACGGGAGGCAGCAGUGGGGAAUAUUGCGCAAUGGGGGCAACCUGACGCAGCCAUGCCGCGUGAAUGAAGAAGGCCUUCGGGUUGUAAAGUUCUUUCGGUAGCGAGGCGUUACCCGCAGAAGAAGCACCGGCGAACUCCGUGCCAGCAGCCGCGGUAAUAC
Molecule: ribosomal RNA, 405 nt
Filed under: uncultured bacterium
Lineage: Bacteria
Description: partial 16S ribosomal RNA
Rfam family: Bacterial small subunit ribosomal RNA
Source: RNAcentral